AAAGCCGUGAUAACGCAACACCGAGUGCUAGCAUCAUAUGCUGGCUGUCCAAGUGUGUAAAAUACACCUGUUAGCAAGGGCCGGGCAAGACCGGUGCCAGCCGCCGCGGUAACACCGGCGGCCCGAGUGGUGAUCGUGAUUAUUGGGUCUAAAGGGUCCGUAGCCGGUUUGGUCAGUCCUCCGGGAAAUCUGAUAGCUCAACUAUUAGGCUUUCGGGGGAUACUGCCAGACUUGGAACCGGGAGAGGUAAGAGGUACUACAGGGGUAGGAGUGAAAUCUUGUAAUCCCUGUGGGACCACCUGUGGCGAAGGCGUCUUACCAGAACGGGUUCGACGGUGAGGGACGAAAGCUGGGGGCACGAACCGGAUUAGAUACCCGGGUAGUCCCAGCCGUAAACGAUGCUCGCUAGGUGUCAGGCAUGGCGCGACCGUGUCUGGUGCCGCAGGGAAGCCGUGAAGCGAGCCACCUGGGAAGUACGGCCGCAAGGCUGAAACUUAAAGGAAUGGCG
This 508-nucleotide ribosomal RNA is filed under the name uncultured prokaryote. Its description in RNAcentral is "bacterial SSU rRNA". It matches the Rfam family "Archaeal small subunit ribosomal RNA", at positions 361 to 870 of the family's 1478-position model. The record is from RNAcentral.